RNAcentral lists this unclassified non-coding RNA (775 nucleotides) under Hevea brasiliensis (rubber tree). Lineage: Eukaryota; Viridiplantae; Streptophyta; Magnoliopsida; Malpighiales; Euphorbiaceae. The record is from RNAcentral.
GGUUCUCCCAUUGAUGUGGUAAGUAUACUUUGUCCACUUGCUGGUAAAUCUAGCAAAUACGUGGUAGCAGCUCAAAAAAUUCAUCAUCAUCGCUUAUAGCCAUAAAUUCUAUUUUUUAUAUGAGCUUUGUUCCUUUUUGCUUGACCAUUCUUAAUGAUAACCUAUUGAAUACAAGAGUUAUCGAAAAUAAAGAACAUAGUAUUUGGAAUGAUAAUGAAGCCAGUAAAAUAUUUUGCUACUGUAGCAAUUGACUAUAUCUAGAACACACAAGUGACCAUUGAUAUUUAUUUGACAUUUAGGCCAUGUUUGGUUCACUUUGAAAAUAGGAAUGGAAUUCAAUUCUUGUAAUAGGAUUCUGUUUUCUUGUUCAGGUCGCAAGGAAUUAAAAUUUUUAUGAUAUUCUUAUAUCUAAAUUGCUUGAAUUUUUAUUAAAAUGGAAUCUAUUUUUAAUUAUAUUUUAAAAAUUACUAUUAAAUUCUAUUUCAUUAUUUCAAAAAUAAUCCUGGAAUAAAAUUCUUGUAAUUUAGAAAUAUAUUUCCAUUCUCAUUCCAUUUCCAAAAUAAACCAAACAUGCCCUUGGCAUAAUCUAGAGAAUUCAGCAUGGGAAUAACAAGGGUUGUAUCAUGGGAGAUUGUGUUACAAAAUUACUUUGUAUCAUGUUGAUCUUAUUUUGCAAGUCUAUAUACUUUUUGAUGAAUGAUGGUCACCUAGUAAGUCAACGCUUGAUUGGAUGCUGUGCAUGUUAUGUUCUAGGUGAAAUCUAGAAUGAUGGGAG